GGAACUCUGGGGUCUCACUAAGAACAAGAUUUAAAGUCAGACGAGUUCCAAAGAUACUUCCUGAAGAGACUCUUGGAUUUUGCCUGUGACAGCCCUCCCCAGGACGAGGAAGGCAGCCUCCCCUUGGGACAGCACUCUACGGACUUCUCAGUGUUGGAAAGAGCUGGGACUCCUACAGGGAAUUCCUACUCUUCAUAUUUGUUCUCUGCUAAACCAGAGGAGACACAUCUUGCUCUAGAGUUCCCCAGAACCUGCUCUUCUGGGUCAGCCUCCUGCUGUCUUAUUCUUCCAUCUUUUCUCCACCUAUGCCCAAAGCACAACCAAGGUCACUUUGUUUCUUGAGCUGAGUUCACGCUGGAGCAUGCAAUGCAACAGAGCUUCUAUUUCCUGGCAGAUGGACCAUGAGCCUGGGCCAGAGAAUCUGGUGCUGAGCUGCUGCAGUCAGCUGAGCUGCUUACGUAACCUGAAGGCUCUCCUGGGAGGACCAUGCUGUGAAAGGCAGCUCUGGUUUGCUUCCCCUCAGAUAAUGUUUAUAUGGCCUUUUGGUCAGAGAAGAAGCAAAGAUAAUCCCCCUGACCCUCAGGUUGAGGAGACACAGAUCGGCCUUUGCUGAGGGUAGCACAGCAAAUGAGGAUGCAUCUCCCAGCAGGUGACGUGCCCGGUCCUGUGACUCAUGCCCUUUAUCCCAGUAAGUGAUCUGGCUCUGGUAAAGUGCCCUAGGGAGCCUUGCCUGGACAAGGAGCACCUCGUGAUAGUCUGCCCUGUGCAACCCGCUGCUGUUUCUGACGAGGUUAAGCUGGAUUCAAAUGCUAGGUGACAGGACCUUGCCUUGCACGAUGGUUUCUUACCCCACAAUAUUCAUCUCAGGGGUGAGCAGGCUAGCAACAUUCUUGGAUGACUGUCCUGAAUAGGCAAAGCAGUCUGCCUGAUGUAGCCACCCCACUUUCUAGGGUCAAUGACCCAUCUGCGGCUCCCAGCCUGGGAGUCCUAGAUGCUUAGAUUAGGUUCUUUUUCUCUCUUAGGGUCAAAUGCAAACAAAAAUGCUGUGAGACGCAGGACAUCAGGGGCAUCCCAGGGCCUGAAUAUUCUUACUCUGACCAGAGCCGGCUCCGGGCAGCUGUCAGCCAUGCCUUAAAAAUCAGAAGUCUGCACACUUUUUCCGUAAAGGGCCAGGUAUUAAAUCUUUCAGGUUCAUGGGCCACAUGUGGUCUCAGAUGCAACUACCCAGCACUGCCAUUGUGGCAUGGAAGCAGCCAUAGAGACUUUGUAAAUGAAUGGGCACGGUGGCAUUCCAAUAAAACUUCAUUUACAAAAACAAGCCAUGGGCUGGAUUUGGACUAUGAGUUAUACUUUGCCAACACCUGGUUUAAAUUAAAUCUGAACUUCCCUCGGAG
This 1394-nucleotide long non-coding RNA is filed under the name Homo sapiens (human). RNAcentral describes it as "HSALNT0049203". The record is from RNAcentral. Lineage: Eukaryota; Metazoa; Chordata; Mammalia; Primates; Hominidae.